Molecule: ribosomal RNA, 429 nt
Filed under: Pseudomonadota bacterium
Lineage: Bacteria; Pseudomonadati; Pseudomonadota
Description: Proteobacteria bacterium partial 16S ribosomal RNA
Rfam family: Bacterial small subunit ribosomal RNA
Source: RNAcentral
UGGGGAAUAUUGGACAAUGGGCGAAAGCCUGAUCCAGCCAUGCCGCGUGUGUGAAGAAGGUCUUCGGAUUGUAAAGCACUUUAAGUUGGGAGGAAGGGCAGUAAGCGAAUACCUUGCUGUUUUGACGUUACCGACAGAAUAAGCACCGGCUAACUCUGUGCCAGCAGCCGCGGUAAUACAGAGGGUGCAAGCGUUAAUCGGAAUUACUGGGCGUAAAGCGCGCGUAGGUGGUUCGUUAAGUUGAAUGUGAAAGCCCCGGGCUCAACCUGGGAACUGCAUCCAAAACUGGCGAGCUAGAGUAGGGCAGAGGGUGGUGGAAUUUCCUGUGUAGCGGUGAAAUGCGUAGAUAUAGGAAGGAACACAGGUGGCGAAGGCGACCACCUGGGCUCAUACUGACACUGAGGUGCGAAAGCGUGGGGAGCAAACAGG